This 614-nucleotide RNase P RNA is filed under the name Planctomycetota bacterium. RNAcentral describes it as "RNase P RNA component class A". It matches the Rfam family "Bacterial RNase P class A". Rfam says of the family: Ribonuclease P (RNase P) is a ubiquitous endoribonuclease, found in archaea, bacteria and eukarya as well as chloroplasts and mitochondria. Lineage: Bacteria; Pseudomonadati; Planctomycetota. The record is from RNAcentral.
UGGUGCGGCAAGGCGGCCGCACGCCGGGCGUGAAAGUCCGGUGUGAGGAAAGUCCGAGCACGGAAGGACACGGUGGUGGGUAACGCCCACCCGUCCGCGGCGGUCGCGGGCGCGGGCCAGUGCCACAGAAAGCAAACCGCCGAUGGCGGUGGUAGGUCGAUUCUCCGAAUCGACGUCUGAAUCUGGGUAGGUCGAUUCUGCGAAUCGACCUCCGAUUCGACUCGACGCUUGCUCGGGUCGGUUCGGAGAACCGACCUGCCUCGACUCGGAGAUUCGACCUACCCCGCACAGGCAAGGGUGAAAGGGUGCGGUAAGAGCGCACCGCCCGGGUGGCGACAUCCGGGGCACGGUAAACCCCACCGCGUGCAAGGUCAUGCAGCUCCCGUCCGCCCUCGGCGGGACGGCCGGUCCGGCCGGAAGGGAGCGGGUGGACCGCUCGGGUAUGUGCGUCCCGGACCGCGUCGGCAACGGCGCGGCAAGAGAAAUGGCCGCCCUGUCCGGCAGGCGCAGCACUGCUGCUUGUCGUGGCUCGCCACGUCAGCAGCAUUGCCCCCGUCAAGGAGCGCUGCGAACCACCGGACGGACAGAACUCGGCUUACCAGCCGCACCGACCG